Molecule: ribosomal RNA, 301 nt
Filed under: uncultured bacterium
Lineage: Bacteria
Description: partial 16S ribosomal RNA
Rfam family: Bacterial small subunit ribosomal RNA
Source: RNAcentral
CAGUCGCCGCGGGAAUACGAAGGGGGCUAGCGUUGUUCGGAAUUACUGGGCGUAAAGGGCGCGUAGGCGGCCAUUCAAGUUAGAUGUGAAAGCCCUGGGCUCAACCUAGGAAUUGCAUUUGAUACUGUUUGGCUUGAGUUCGGGAGAGGUGAGUGGAAUUCCCAGUGUAGAGGUGAAAUUCGUAGAUAUUGGGAAGAACACCAGUGGCGAAGGCGGCUCACUGGACCGACACUGACGCUGAGGCGCGAAAGCGUGGGGAGCAAACAGGAUUAGAGACCCCAGUAGUCCCUGUCUCUUAUAC